Molecule: ribosomal RNA, 301 nt
Filed under: uncultured bacterium
Lineage: Bacteria
Description: partial 16S ribosomal RNA
Rfam family: Bacterial small subunit ribosomal RNA
Source: RNAcentral
CAGUCGCCGCGGGAAUACGUAGGUGGCAAGCGUUGUCCGGAAUUAUUGGGCGUAAAGGGCUCGCAGGCGGUUUCUCAAGUCUGAUGUGGAAGCCCCCGGCUCAACCGGGGAGGGUCAUUGGAAACUGGGAAACUUGAGUGCAGAAGAGGAGAGUGGAAUUCCACGUGUAGCGGUGAAAUGCGUAGAGAUGUGGAGGAACACCAGUGGCGGAGGCGACUCUCUGGUCUGUAACUGACGCUGAGGAGCGAAAGCGUGGGGAGCGAACAGGAUUAGAUACCCCGGUAGUCCCUGUCUCUUAUAC